UACGUAGGGGGCUAGCGUUGUUCGGAAUCACUGGGGCGUAAAGGGUGCGUAGGUGGCGUGGCAAGUCAGAUGUGAAAAGCCCCGGGGCUCAACCCCGGAAUUGCAUCCGAUACUGCCAUGCUAGAGUACUGAAGAGGUGACUAGAAUUCUCGGUGUAGCAGUGAAAUGCGUAGAUAUCGAGAGGAAUACCAAAGGCGAAGGCAGGUCACUGGGCAGUUUACUGACACUGAGGCACGAAGGCCAGGGGAGCAAACGGG
Molecule: ribosomal RNA, 257 nt
Filed under: uncultured bacterium
Lineage: Bacteria
Description: partial 16S ribosomal RNA
Rfam family: Bacterial small subunit ribosomal RNA
Source: RNAcentral